UGACGGGCUAGGGGGGGAGUUGACGUGCUCUAUUUUUCACAAAUCGUCGAAAAUGGUGACCCGAAGUCCGAGGGCGGCGCAGACGAGCCAUUGGGAACGUUCCGAUUGACGUCGAUAUCUCGCCCCCAAGAGAUCCAGGUUGGCAUUAGCCGGUUCCGUAGGGAAUCGGCGAACGUCUCACGCCCGGGAACCAGGUCAGGCGCGGAAGCGAGCAGCCCGACCGGGGAUGCUGGAUGCCUUGGGAUAGCGGGAUGGAGGAGAUCGGUUUCUAAUUCCCCUUGGUGACGAGCGUCCACCGAGGACGUGCCCACUA
This 313-nucleotide signal recognition particle RNA is filed under the name Methanobacteriota archaeon. RNAcentral describes it as "Euryarchaeota archaeon signal recognition particle sRNA". It matches the Rfam family "Archaeal signal recognition particle RNA". Lineage: Archaea; Methanobacteriati; Methanobacteriota. The record is from RNAcentral.